AACGAACGCUGGCGGCAUGCCUAACACAUGCAAGUCGAACGAGACCUCCGGGUCUAGUGGCGCAUGGGUGCGUAACGCGUGGGAACCUGCCCUUAGGUUCGGAAUAACUCCCCGAAAGGGGUGCUAAUACCGGAGAAUGUCUUCGGACCAAAGAUUUAUCGCCUUUGGAUGGGCCCGCGUUGUAUUAGCUAGUUGGUAUGGUAAAAGCCUACCAAGGCGACGAUCGAUAGCUGGUCUGAGAGGAUGAUCAGCCACACUGAGAGUGAGAAACGGUGCAGACUUUUGGGCGAGGGAGGAGUGGGGAAUAUAGGAAAGUCGCCGAAAGGAUGAACGAGCACUGCUGCGUGAGCGAUGAAGGCCUUAAAGUAGUAAAGCGCUUUUAUACGGGAUGAUAAUGACAGUACCGGAAGAAUAAGCACCGGCUAACUACGUG
Molecule: ribosomal RNA, 433 nt
Filed under: uncultured bacterium
Lineage: Bacteria
Description: partial 16S ribosomal RNA
Rfam family: Bacterial small subunit ribosomal RNA
Source: RNAcentral